Molecule: unclassified non-coding RNA, 152 nt
Filed under: Subramaniula flavipila
Lineage: Eukaryota; Fungi; Ascomycota; Sordariomycetes; Sordariales; Chaetomiaceae
Description: partial internal transcribed spacer 2
Source: RNAcentral
CAACCAUCAAGCCCCGCGCUUGUGUUGGGGACCUGCGGCUGCCGCAGGCCCUGAAAACCAGUGGCGGGCUCGCUGUCACACCGGGCGUAGUAGAUUAUAUCUCGCUCAGGGCGUGCUGCGGGUUCCGGCCGUAAAAAGCCUUAUUUACCCAA